Molecule: ribosomal RNA, 254 nt
Filed under: uncultured bacterium
Lineage: Bacteria
Description: partial 16S ribosomal RNA
Rfam family: Archaeal small subunit ribosomal RNA
Source: RNAcentral
CCCCAGCGCCACAAGUGGUUAUCACGAUUAUUGGGCCUAAAGCGUUCGUAGCCGGUUUGGUAAAUCUCUUGUGAAAUUGUUCGGCUUAACCGAACAGCGUGCAGGAGACACUGCCAAGCUCGAGACCGGGAGGCGUGUGAAGUAUGUCGUGGGGACUGGUAAAAUGGGAUAAUCCACGAUAGAAUACCGAUGGCGAAGGCAGCACACGAGAACGGAUCUGACGGUGAGGAACGAAAGCCAGGGGAGCGAACCGG